Molecule: ribosomal RNA, 495 nt
Filed under: uncultured bacterium
Lineage: Bacteria
Description: partial 16S ribosomal RNA
Rfam family: Bacterial small subunit ribosomal RNA
Source: RNAcentral
GAUGAACGCUGGCGGCGUGCCUAAUACAUGCAAGUAGAACGCUGAAGGAGGAGCUUGCUCUUCUGGAUGAGUUGCGAACGGGUGAGUAACGCGUAGGUAACCUGCCUGGUAGCGGGGGAUAACUAUUGGAAACGAUAGCUAAUACCGCAUGACAACAGUUAUUGCAUGAUAACUGUUUAAAAGGGGCAACUGCUCCACUACCAGAUGGACCUGCGUUGUAUUAGCUAGUUGGUGAGGUAACGGCUCACCAAGGCGACGAUACAUAGCCGACCUGAGAGGGUGAUCGGCCACACUGGGACUGAGACACGGCCCAGACUCCUACGGGAGGCAGCAGUAGGGAAUCUUCGGCAAUGGACGGAAGUCUGACCGAGCAACGCCGCGUGAGUGAAGAAGGUUUUCGGAUCGUAAAGCUCUGUUGUAAGAGAAGAACGAGUGUGAGAGUGGAAAGUUCACACUGUGACGGUAUCUUACCAGAAAGGGACGGCUAACUACGUG